UACGAAGGGGCUAGCGUUGCUCGGAAUCACUGGGCGUAAAGGGUGCGUAGGCGGGUCUUUAAGUCAGGGGUGAAAUCCUGGAGCUCAACUCCAGAACUGCCUUUGAUACUGAAGAUCUUGAGUUCGGGAGAGGUGAGUGGAACUGCGAGUGUAGAGGUGAAAUUCGUAGAUAUUCGCAAGAACACCAGUGGCGAAGGCGGCUCACUGGCCCGAUACUGACGCUGAUGCACGAAAGCGUGGGGAGCAAACAGG
RNAcentral lists this ribosomal RNA (252 nucleotides) under uncultured bacterium. Its description in RNAcentral is "partial 16S ribosomal RNA". It matches the Rfam family "Bacterial small subunit ribosomal RNA", at positions 524 to 776 of the family's 1533-position model. The record is from RNAcentral.